Molecule: ribosomal RNA, 345 nt
Filed under: Triticum aestivum (bread wheat)
Lineage: Eukaryota; Viridiplantae; Streptophyta; Magnoliopsida; Poales; Poaceae
Description: partial small subunit ribosomal RNA
Source: RNAcentral
AUGGUCAGUACUGCAACCCUCUUGUCUUCCUGUCCCUCCCUGCAUGGUGGUCGCUGUCAGCAUCAUGGUUUAGGGUGCCUUUCGUCCCGCUUGUAUGGAUGGAUAGGCUGGUGUGUUUUGUUCUUUCUUUCUUUGUUGCCACGUAGGUUGCAGGACGAGGUGCACACCUACACAAUGAGAAGUGCAUAUGCCGACUCAUCCUGGAGACCAAAACUUCAAAACCGCCACAUACACGUAAUCAAGGCAGAUGUUAACAAAAAAAUUAACUUUUUUGAUUUGAUUUUGUUUGGCUUGUUUAUCAAUUGUCUCUUACUAUUUCCUGAUAUUUCCUCAGUUUGGCCCUGA